AUGGGCUUUCCCAAGCCAUUCCAACCUCCUGCCUCUCACCUGAGACCGGCUGGUCCAGUCUCUGGCCUCCCCUCCCCCUUCCACGUCUCUCCAGUCUCCUCCCCCCCGCCCCCGCCCCAUUUCCGUUGCAGGCUCUGCACAGGCCUCCGGCGCUUCAACCGGAUGGAGAGAGGCGGCAGCGACCCGGGAUGGGCUUUGGUGUCAUCCGGACUCACACCCUCCCCCACGGCCACCCCCAGGGACCUGAGGCAAUUCCACCUUUACACUGACCUGCAGGGAUCCAGGGGAUUUUCCUCCCUCUUCCCUCACUCGAUUUGGGUCGCUCCCAAAAGACCAAGAGUCCUGCAGACAGGAGUGCUUGGUGAGCAGAUCCUGGUCCUGCUCAUUCUUAGGGACCUAACCUUCAUCACCCAGCCUCUAAAGCCACCUCAGCUGGAAGUGAUCUCUACCCCGCCCUGCCCCAUCAAUGCUGCAGGUAGGGUCUGCACCCCUCAUAUUGCUCUUAGCAAAUGUUGCCUUUUACCUUUCCCCUUUCCUGUGUGUGUUUGUGUUGGAUGGGGGUUAUCUAACCAGGCAGAUGUUCAAAUGUGGGUUGAUGGAGAGUGGGGGUCAGACUCCAGCUCUCAUGCUGCUUGAGUGGCUCUUGUGAUUUUAAACAGUGCAUCUCCCAGAAAUCUCAGAGAUUCAGAAGGAGCUGUAUGCCAAUUGGCUCACAGACGAUCCUACUUUCUGCUUGCACAAAAAUUGGAGCAGAAGUUUCAUUGUCCCCCUCCUCUGCUUAUUCUACUUACAGAUAGUCAGAACAACCCUAAUACCAUUUUUAUGGAGCUACUGACAGAGGAUAUUGUCCUGUUUUCCUAAAUAGUCAUAAGAGAGAGAUCAGUCAGCUCACUGGUGCACACCUUACCAAGAGCCAGAUGGUACAGGCCUUUACCUUCAUCCUCGUCCCUGAGCAAUUUCAGUGCAUCAAUAUAGCAUUCAGCUGCCUUUGAAAUCAAGUUAAUCACAGUAGCUUUUUAAAUGUAAGAUUUUUGGAGACAAGAGCAUUCUUGUCAAUUAAAAACUAUUUUUAAAAAGGAAUGAAAAGGGGGCACAAAUUGAUUUAAACAAUGAAGACAUGAAUUCUGGAGAGUAGACACCAUGUACCUCUGACCCAAUCAAUAUUCUGUUUUUAUACACCAAGAGGGCACUGGGGAUAGCUCCAAAGUCUAAAGCCUUUCAAGUGGUGUGAGGGGAGGAGAAAGGAGCUCUUAUACAAGAAUAUGAUAUCCAGAAUAUUGUUUACUAUGUUCUCUUUCGAAGUCAUUUCCUGAGGCUCUGUAUUCAGCAACUCCUGCAUAUUUCUUAUUGCUCUUUCAAAGCUCAUCCCAUAGAAUAGCUUGAGAGGGCUAUUUCUCUCCCUCGCUUCUCUAGCACGCUAUCUAUGGCUUGAAAACAACCCUCCCAGUAUGGCAAAAUCUGCUCCAGAUCCAAAGGUUUGGCUGCUGUGCAUGGACUCAAAGCAGUUGUCUUCUGAGAUGAUUUGCCCCUUUGGAGUGCAACGAGACCCAGCGCAUUUCAUCACUUUGCUCAACUGCGGGUAGUCCACUCAUGUUCUGAUGUAAAUGGUACACAUAGAGCCCAGGCUGAUUUCCACUUAGAUUGUAAGUCUCUGCUUCAGAAAGUAAACUCUUCUACCAUCCCUCCUGUCACUAUGUUCCCUGACAUUUGGAAAUUUGGCAUGCGUAAGUUUCAGAAGUUCCACAAACUCUUCAGAAUAGCCACUGGCCACAUCCAAGCAAAUGAACUUAACUUGAAGCACAACUUUUCAACUCUUCCAGAUAAUUCUGCCCACUUCCUGAACUCACAGCUAAAUGCUGCACACAUUGUGGAUUAUUGUGGCCAAGAGUUUCUAGUUAUCCAGAGCAUAGUGCUUAUGAAUUGCUGUGAACCUGAAAUGCUGUGUCAUAACCACUGCCAUUUCAUACGUCCCCAUGGUGUCUGUGUUGACCACAGUAAUAGGAAUCCUUGAGUUGGUCUGCUUAGACUUUCUUACUAUGUGACAGAAUGCUUAAGAUCCACCUCCCCUAGAUUCUUGAGAUUGCUUUGCUUAAGCCUUGAGGUUCAUAUCUAUGUAGAGCAUAUUGCUAGGUUGCGGAGAGGCACACUUCAGCUGUACUACAGCUUGGACCAGGCAACUUUCUCCUGUGGCAAAAGCAGAGUUGUUGAGGAGAGAGUGCUGUUGUUGCUGGCUAGGUGCUUUAAAAUAUUAAGUUUAUAAUGGAAAGAAAAUCUUUGCUGAAUUGUUGAUUCUGACUUAGUUGCCUGCACUCUAUUUACCCAUCCUAACUCUUUCAUCCUGUUUUGUUGACUUUCUGCUUUGUAUCCCUUACUUAUCUGUAAGUGCCAUAGGACAAAAACCUUAUCUGGUUCAACUUUGUAACCACUCCAAUGUUGAAAGUUCAAGUUGGUGGAAACGAUUUAAAUUUUCACUAAUAUGGGAAUGGUUAAAUAAAUUAUCCACACUGUGGAAAUUGUGCAGAUAUAAAAAGUAAUGAAAUAAAAAAUGUGUAGUGACAUCAAAUUAUACUGAAGUUAUAUUUUUGAGUGAAGAAAGUGGCAGAACAGUAUUUAGAGAAUACUGUCCCACGCACAUACAAAUAAUGCAUACAUAUAUGUGCAUGCAACUAGUUUAUUAAGUAGUUCUAAUUUUCUGGUAUAAACAUGGAACAAUUUUAUUUUUUCCAGUAAUUGCUGUCAACUAUGGUCUGUCACAUCUUCUGUUUCUCACUGAAUGAUGAAUUCAUUUAAUGACAUUUCAGUUUGUUUCCUCAACUAUUUAAUCACUUUCAUUCAUUAAGAGAGUUUUGUUUUGGAUUUUUGAAACUCAGUCUGGUUUAUUUUUUAAACUUUUUGUUUUGAAAUAAUUUUAGUUCUAAAGAAGAUAGUACAAAGCUUUUCUGUAAACCCUACAUCUAGCUUAGCCUAAUACCUGUGGUACAUUUAUAAAAACAAAGAAAUUAACAUUUGUGCAAUACUAUCUCUGACAGUGAGAAACCUGGCUCUCCUUUAUGCAUAAUUUAUUUACUUAUUUAUUUAACUCUAGUAUAUAGUUAAAGUAGUUUCAGAACUUCUAUCAUGUACCCCUGUGAGAAACAAAUUUCCCCACCAGAACAUAGCAUUUUUGUAUAGUUCUUUUUGUCUUGACCGUUAUAAUAUCCAGUCACUUUUUCAAAGCAGCUUAGGUCAGCUCUUUUUUUUCCCUACCCUUUUUAUUGAAGUUAUGGCAUACAUCUAUAAUAUAGGAGAUUCAUUUGCAACAGUGUGCUUUCUGUCUAGGGCUCCCCUACAUCUUGAUUUGUAUAUUUUUUAAUGGACAUAGAGCAAAAGUCACCCUUUGUGGUGUGCAGUUCUGUGAAAUUUGAAAACAUUCAUAUAGUCAUGUAUCAACCACCACAGUACCAUACUGAAGAGUUCUAUCACUCUAAAAUUUCCCUUGUGUGACCCCUUUGUAGUCAACUACUCCCCCCAUCCUCACCCUUGAAGCCUCUUUUAUAUCUAUAUAGAUUAACCUCUACAUAAUAUCAUAUAAAUGGAAUCAGACAAUACAUAUAUUUUUGAGUCUGGCUUCUUUCACUUAGCAAAAUACAUUUGAAAUGCAUACAUGUUGUGUGAAUCAGAAAUUUGUUCCUUUUAAUUACUGUGUAGUAUUCCAUUGUACAGAUGUAUAUUAUUUUCAGAUGUUAAAGCAACCGAACAUUCCUGAGGUAAAUACCACUUUGUUGUAGUGUAUGAUGAUUUUUAUAUGUUGCUGGAUUCAAUUUCCUAUCAUCUUGUUUAGUACUUUUGCAUAUAUAUUCAUAACAGUUAGUGGUCUGUAGUUUUCUUGCGAUGUCUUUGACCGGUUUUAGUAUCAGGGUAAUACAGGUCUUACGAUGAGUUGGGAAGUGUUCCUUCCCCUUCUAUUUAUGGAAGAGUUUGCUAAGGAUUUGUAUUAAUUCUUCUUUAUAUGCUUGGUAGAAUUAAUCAGCACAGUCAUCUAGGCCUGGGCUUUUGGGGGGCAAAUAAUUAUUUUUUAUUAUUAUUUCAAUUUCUUAACUUAUUAUUAUAUUGAUUUAUUCAGAUUAUCGUUUUCUUUUUGAGUCAAUUUUGAUAGGAAUUUGUCCAUGUCAUCUAAGUUAUCUAAUUCAUUGACAUACAGUUGUUCAUAGUAUUCCUUUUAAUCAUUUUUUUUCCUGAGAGGUCAAUAGUAAUGCCCCUCUUUCAUUUCUUUCUUGCUUUCUUUCUUUUUUUAAAUUUUAUUCAUUGUUUUUGG
This 4294-nucleotide long non-coding RNA is filed under the name Delphinapterus leucas (beluga whale). RNAcentral's name for it is "lncRNA (ENSDLEG00000018403.1)". The record is from RNAcentral. Lineage: Eukaryota; Metazoa; Chordata; Mammalia; Artiodactyla; Monodontidae.